Small nucleolar RNA from Erinaceus europaeus (western European hedgehog), 131 nucleotides. The record is from Ensembl. Lineage: Eukaryota; Metazoa; Chordata; Mammalia; Eulipotyphla; Erinaceidae.
CAGCAUGUUUCCAAUAAGUAUGAAAGGCAGUGGUCAUUUGAUUUCCAAUAGCAUGUGAGGAUAACCUGGAGAGACUCUGACAGCUCAGGUCAGCAUAAUACCUGUAGCUGCCAUCCACUUCUAAUAUAUAU